GUUGGUUUUGCGGGCUCACCAACAAACCUUCACCGUUGGUUUUACGGGCUCACCAACAAACCUUACAAAGUAAUAAAGAAGAAAGAGUUUGAAACUCCUAAAAGAGCAAAUAUAACAAUUUUACACUAAUAGAAGAGAAGAGAAAACAGUUAUCACUUUGAGGAUGCUUUUCUCUUCUUUGCCAAGGUUCCUUCACUUCACAAUAGUUUGGUGGAGCUGUUGAAUGCACAUUCAGAUUGCUCAACCACCUCCUUUUUGAGACUUAAAUGGAGAACCUUGAAGAAGGAUGCUAGGGCUUGCUUUUUCUUGAAUGAACUUUGAUUUCUUGGCAAAAGAUGAUUCCUCUGAUGAAUAGUGACACUUUAAAUACUU
Molecule: long non-coding RNA, 372 nt
Filed under: Phoenix dactylifera (date palm)
Lineage: Eukaryota; Viridiplantae; Streptophyta; Magnoliopsida; Arecales; Arecaceae
Description: long non-coding RNA (PDAC_LNC006273)
Source: RNAcentral